Molecule: long non-coding RNA, 1110 nt
Organism: Ailuropoda melanoleuca (giant panda)
Lineage: Eukaryota; Metazoa; Chordata; Mammalia; Carnivora; Ursidae
Exons: 3
Source: RefSeq, a predicted model, not a curated record
CUACUCCACAAUGAAAAGGAAUGAACAGUUGACGUACCUUAUAACUUGAGUGAAUCGCAAAGGCGUUAUGUAACUGAAACCUAGUCAACGUGCCCAGCUAAACAACAAAACCAAAAAACUACAUUUCCCAGCCUCCUUUGCAGCGAGCCUGGAAAACAGACUUGAGGGCUGGAGCACUACCUGCCAUCUUGGACUAUGAGGUGACCUCGAAGAUGGAAGCUAUAUGCUGAGUACGGUAGGACAAAAAGAGAAGAGACUGUGUCCCCAGUGACAGUCCGAAGAUCCUAUACCAUUCAUGAACAGCCUACCUGCAGAUUUCCUUUACCUGAAAUGGGAGAGAACAUUCUACCUUGUUACUUGUUCAGGGGAGGAGGUUGUUGUGUGCAGCCAGACUUACUUGUAACUGAUACAGCAGCAUAAACUCCUUCAGACAAGUCUUCAUUCUUUAAUUUAUUUGGCUAGCACCGCCCAGAGUGUGAGUAACGUACUCCACUCCAAUGUAAGGACGGACCCACUUAUGGGGUAUAGCCUGUUCUAUAUCAGAUGCUGCUGCCGUGUACCUGGUCUGUCCAAUGGGUACGCCAAGUGUGCAUUUCUAUCAACAGACCUCAGAGGUCACAGAUUAGCCAAACCCAUUCCAUAAGCAUGUUUUCAUUAGCCAGCAUAUUUGUUUAUUUUAUUACUAAUACUGUUGUCACUAUUUUUUGUUACUUACUUAGUAUGAAUGAAUACGGUGAAGGGGCGUGCACUCUCCAGUUCCCCAUGAGCCACCCACUCUAUUUUCUCAGACUGAGUGCUUCACAUAGGUACAGAACCUACUGGGCUCCUGACAGCAUUAAUGAGAACUACCCUUUGAAAUGAUUCUUUCAACUUGAGACUUGACAUAUAGAGGAAGUGGACAGAAUUCACCAAGAAUGUUUCAGCGUGCACUAUAAAAUGAUUCGCUAACGAUGAACCGAGAAAUGAAUGUAUUGAUUACAGGCAGUGCAUAAUAUACCCCAUGGCUCCAAUGUUCAUUUCUAAUUUCUCUCCAUUAAAAGAAAGCCUUAGGAUGUGAUUAGAAAGUGAUUUCUCUCAUCUAUGGAACAUAAGAACUAGGAUGAUUGGUAG